RNA transcript from Anarrhichthys ocellatus (wolf-eel), 8074 nucleotides. It is a transcript of the gene named dedicator of cytokinesis 11, with no coding region annotated. NCBI's taxonomy places the organism in Eukaryota, Metazoa, Chordata, Actinopteri, Perciformes, Anarhichadidae. The transcript is spliced from 54 exons. The record is from RefSeq and is a predicted model, not a curated record.
AACGAGUGAAGCAUCUCGCGCUGUUCAGCCCUCUCUGCUCUCCUCUCAUCAGCAGCAGCUCCGCCUCGCGACGCGAACCGCUGGCUGGUUCACCUCCAACCGACUCAACCCACAUCUGGCUGUCACACACAGCAGUGCUGCCGCUCCGUCCGGUACCGCGGCAUGCUCGUAUUCACACCGGGACAUACGUGGUGGAUUUAAAACCGGCGGGGCGCAAUGUCUGAGGUUCGAAAAUUCACAAAGAGGUUAAGCAAACCCGGGACGGCCGCGGAAGUCCGGCAGAGCGUGUCGGAGGCUGUGAAGAGCUCCGUGGACCUUGUGGAGCAGCCAAAGAUUAUUGAACCGCUGGACUAUGAAGCCGUGGUGUUUCAGAGAAAGGCCCAGAUCCACAGUGACCCCCACCGAGACCUGCUGCUCUGCCCCGUGGACGAUGUCUCGGAGUCCCAGGUCUCGCGGCAGAGGAGGACCGUCGUUCCCUCGGUGCCUCAGAACGCUGAGUGGGAAGCCCGGAGUCUGUUUGCCAAAGAGUGCAUCAAGAUGUAUAACACCGACUGGCACGUAAUCAACUACAAGUAUGAGGCUUACUCCGGUGACUUCCGCAUGUUGCCGAGCAAAGGCCUGAAGACGGACAAGCUGCCAGCCCACGUGUUCGAGAUCGACGAAGACACCAAAGACGAGGACACAUCGUCGAUGUGCUCCCAGAGGGGAGGCAUCAUGAAGCAGGGCUGGCUUCAGAAAGCCAACAUCAACAGCAGCCUGUCUGUCUCCAUGAGGGUGUUCAAAAGGAGAUUCUUCUACUUGUCUCAGCUCCCUGACGGCUCCUACAUCCUCAACUCCUACAAGGAUGAGAAGAACUGCAAGGAGACCAAAGGAUCCAUCUACCUGGACUCCUGUAUAGACGUUGUUCAGAGCCCUAAGAUGCGGCGCAAUGGCUUCGAGCUGAAGAUGCAGGACCGCUACAGCCACUUCCUGGCUGCGGACAGCGAAGCAGAGAUGGAGGAGUGGGUGAUCACGCUGAGACAGGCUCUGCAGAGCACCACCGAGGCCAGCCAGGACAGGAGGAAUGGUGCAGAGACGCUGGACUGUUCCCUGGAUGACGACACUACCAGCCAAGGUAAAGGUGAGAGCCUGCUGGAGAGCCUGGGGAGGAGCUUACAACCUGAACUUAUGAAGUACGCCAGGGAAACUGACCAGCUCAAUAAGAUGAACAGGAAUGAUGGCAGACCAAAGCUUUUCUCUCUGGAUCCUGAGACGCAGAGGCUGGACUUCUCAGGCAUCGAGCCAGAUGUGAAGCCCUUUGAGGAGCGCUUUGGCCGCCGCGUCGUGGUCAGCUGCCACGACCUGACCUUCAGUCUGCAGGGCUGCGUCAGUGAGAAGGGAGAUGGCGUCCUCACGAAUGUGGAACCGUUCUUCAUCAGCCUCGCCCUCUUUGACGUCUCCAAGAGCUGUAAGAUCUCGGCCGACUUCCACGUCGACCUCAACCCGCCCUGCGUCAGGGAGAUGCUGACCGACGCCUCGGGCCAGCUGUCCCCUUCAUCCGACUCAGAGGGCGGAGGAGGAGGAGUCAGGGAGGGAGGCGGGGGAGGUGGAGUCAUGGUGAACGGAGACUCCGCCAGAGGGAACGGCCUGCCCGUUCUCCAGAGGGUGUCGGAGGCUCUGCUGCGCUUCCCCACACAGGGGAUCUUUUCAGUGACCAACCCCCAUGCAGACAUCUUCCUGGUGGCCCGCGUGGAGAAGGUGUUACAGAACGGCAUCACGCACUGUGCCGAGCCGUACAUCAAGACCUCCGACAUCAACAAGACGGCUCAGAAGGUGCUCAAAGCUGCCAAGCAGACAUGCCAACGCUUGGGCCAGUACAGGAUGCCGUUUGCCUGGGCUGCCAAGCAAGUGUUCAAAGACGCCCAGGGCAGCCUGGACAUGGACGGUAAGUUUUCUCCUCUCUACCGCCAGGACAGCAGCAAAGUCUCCACUGACGACAUCAUCAAGCUGCUGGCCGACAUCAGGAAACCUGAGAAGAGCAAGCUUCAGACCAUCCCAGGACAGCUGAAUGUCACCAUUGAGUGUGUCCCACCUGACUUCUCAAAUACGGUGACUUCCUCUUACGUUCCCGUCAAGCCCUUCGAGGACGGCUGUGAACGGGUGUCGGUGGAGGUGGAGGAGUUUCUCCCCGACGAGGCCAAGUACAACUACCCCUUCACCACCUACAAGAACCAGCUGUACGUCUGCCCCCUGCAGCUCAAAUACGACAACCAGAAGACCUUCACCAAGGCGAGAAACAUUGCAGUCUGCAUCCAGUUCAGAGAUUCAGAUGGAGAAGGUACACCCCCUUUAAAGUGCAUCUACGGCAAGCCGGGAGACUCACUCUUCACCAGCAGCGCCUACGCAGCCGUCCUGCACCACAACCAGAGCCCGGAGUUCUACGACGAGGUGAAGAUUGAGCUGCCGGUCCACGUUCAUGAGAAACACCACAUCCUCUUCACCUUUUACCACGUCAGCUGUGAGUCCAGCAACAAGGCCAGCAGCAAGAGGAGAGAGGGAGUCGAGUCACUGGUGGGUUACUCUUGGAUGCCUUUGCUGAAAGACGGGAGGAUGCAGUCAGUGGAGCUCCAGUUGCCUGUAGCAGCCGCCUUGCCUGCUGGAUACCUGUGUCAGGACACCAGGAAGUCCCAGCCAGAUAUCAAGUGGGUGGAAAAUGCCAAGACACUGUUCAAAGUGAGGACCCACGUGGCAUCAACAAUAUCCGCUCAGGACCUGCAUCUACACAAAUUCUUCCAGCACUGCCAGCUGAUGAGGACGACAGCGGAGGGAAACCCAGCAGAACUGAUCAAAUACCUGAAGUGCCUGCAUGCCAUGGAGACUCAUGUAAUCAUCAACUUCCUACCAACGGUGCUGAUGCAGCUGUUUGGGGUGCUCACAGCAGCAACCAAAGUAACCCAUGAGAUUGCCGUCAACUCUCUGCGGGUGAUCAUACAUAUAGUCUCCAGAUGUCACGAGGAGGGCCUGGAACACUACCUGCGCUCUUUUGUUAAGUAUGUGUUUGUGGCCAACAACCCGGCAUCAGGAAACUCAGCGACCACCCAUGAGAUGCUGGCCACCGCUGUAACAGCCACCCUCAAGCAAACUGCCGAUUUCAACACCAGCAACAAACUGCUCAAGUACUCCUGGUUCUUCUUUGAAACAAUAGUCAAAUCUAUGGCCCAGUACCUGCAAGAGGGCAACCGCAUCAAGAUGCCGCGGCCCCAGCGCUUCCCCGACAGUUUCCACCAGGUGCUCCAGUCGCUGGUGUUGUCCAUCAUGCCACACAUCACCAUCCGCCACAUGGAAAUCCUAGAGGAAGCCCGUUGCAUCAACCUGAGCCUGGCCAAUUUCAUCAAGAGGUGCCUGACCGUCAUGAACAGGGGCUUUGCCUUCGGCCUGGUCAACCACUACAUGUGUCAUUUCGGUCUCAGAGAUCCCAAGGUGCUGACUGAAAUGAAAUUUGAUUUCCUGAUGACCGUGUGUAACCACGAACACUUCAUCCCUCUCAACCUGCCCAUGGCUUUUGGGCGCACUAAGAUGCAGCGGGUACAAGAUUUUAUACCGUAUGCGACGGAGCUUUUUGGCCCUGUAGAGCAGAGUCUGGAGUUCAGCCUGACAGAAGAGUACUGCCGUAACCACUUCCUGGUGGGCCUGCUGCUGAGAGAAGUGGCUGAGGCCUUGCAGCAGGGGCCCGAGGUCCGACAGCUGGCCGUGAGCGUUCUCAAGAACCUUCUUAUUAAGCACGCCAUGGACGACCGCUACACAGCGUUCAAGAAUCAGCAGGCCAGGAUCUGUUUGCUCUACCUGCCACUCUUUGAGCUGCUCUACCAGAACUUGAAGCAGCUGUCUGCCCAGCCACACAGCUCCAGCCCCGGGCUCGGCCUCAAUGGCUCCAGAGAUGACCUGAUAUCAACGGGGUCCACAGACAGCAGGAGAACCAGCACUGCAAUUGAGAGAGACCAUGGUCUGCCAGUUCAGAAUGGUCACGUUGUGAGGAGAGAGGACUCCCGAUGCUCUCUGUUCAUGGACUCGGGAACAGCAGACAGCACUGAGCUGCAGAGGCGUGGCUCCACCAUGAGCAGCAGCCCCGUGCCUCCCAUCGGCAGACUGGGACAGUAUGAGAUCAAGGGCCUCCUGCUCUCCUUCCUGCACAUCGCCAAGACCUUGUCAGAGGACACUCUCAUGGCCUACUGGAACAAAGUUGGCCCUCAAGACAUCAUGAACUUCCUCAGUUUGCUAGAGACCUGUGUGGUUCAGCUCCGGUACAUUGGAAAAAGGAACAUUGGGCGGAGUCAGGAGAUAUGUGUGCCGAAGCUGUUCUCCUCCGACAGGAAGUCUCAGACGAUGCCGGCUAUGCGCUGCAACCGAGCCAGCCUCAUGCAGACGAAGUUACACCAGUUCAGCACCAUGGAAGCCUCCCUCACUCUCAAUAUAGGGACGGGGCCAUCAGAAGCAGAGAUCCACCAUCAGGCUCUGCUGGAGGGCAACAUCUCCACUGAGGUCUCUCUCAGUGUCCUGGAUGUCCUCUCUCUUUUCACUCAGUGUUUUAAGACCCAGCUGCUGGACAGCGACGGUCACAACCCCCUGAUGAAGAAGGUGUUUGACGUUUACCUGACCUUCCUUAAAGUCGGCCAAUCAGAAGCCGCCCUCAGACACGUCUUCGCCGCGCUUAGGGCUUUCAUCAACAAGUUCCCGUCGGUGCUGUUUAAGGGACGCGUGACGCUGUGCGAGGCUCUGUGCUGCGAGGUGCUCAAGUGCUGCGUCUCCAAGCUGGGAUCUCUGAGGGCCGAGGUGUCGGCCCUGCUCUACCUGCUGAUGAGAAACAACUACGAGUACACCAAGAGGAAGACCUUCCUACGCACACACCUGCAGAUCAUCAUUGCUGUAAGCCAGCUGAUCUCCGACGUGGCGCUGACCGGCAGCUCUCGCUUCCAGGAGUCUCUCUCCAUCAUCAACAACUUUGCGAAUAGUGACAAGGCCAUGAAGUCCACAGCCUUCCCCACUGAAGUAAAGGGCCUGACCAAGCGGAUCCGCACCGUGCUGAUGGCCACGGCCCAGAUGAGGGAGCACGAGAGAGACCCGGAGAUGCUGCUGGACCUCCAGUACAGCCUGGCCCGGUCCUACGCCAGCACCCCCGAACUGAGACGAACCUGGCUGGACAGCAUGGCCCGAGCACACCUCAAGAACGGAGAUUUCUCUGAGGCGGCCAUGUGCUACGUUCAUGUGGCUGCACUGGUUGCAGAAUACCUGUACAGGAAAAAGUUGUUCCCCAGUGGCCUUGCCGCUUUUAAGAAGAUUACCUUGAAUAUUGAAGAGGAAGCUGCCAUGAGGGAAGACACCGGAAUGCAAGAUGUCUAUUACACUGAGGAAGUCCUGGUGGAACACCUCGAGGUCUGCGUGGAGGCACUGUGGAAAGCCGAACGCUAUGAGCUCAUCACGCACAUCGCCAAACUCAUCAUCCCCACCUACGAGAAGCGCCUCGAGUAUGAGAAACUAAGUCGACUGUACGACACUCUGCACAGAGCCUACAACAAGAUAAUGGAGGUGAUACAAUCAGGACGCAGGCUGCUCGGGACGUACUUCAGGGUGGCUUUUUACGGACAGGGCUUCUUCGAGGAGGAGGACGGGAAGGAGUACAUUUACAAAGAGCCCAAACUCACUGGCCUGUCCGAAAUCUCUCAGCGGCUGCUGUCACUCUACGGGGAAAAGUUUGGGCCGGAAAACGUCAAGAUCAUUCAGGACUCAAACAAGGUAAACCCCAAAGACCUGGACGCCAAGUUCGCCUACGUCCAGGUGACGUUCGUCAAGUCGUACUUUGAGGAGAAGGAGGCACCGGAGAAGAAGACAGACUUUGAGAAGUGCCACAACAUCAACCGCUUCGUGUUCGAGACGCCGUACACGCUGUCGGGCAAAAAACACGGCGGGGUGGAGGAGCAGUGCAAGAGGAGGAGCGUGCUCACAACUGCCAACACCUUCCCGUACGUGAAGAAGCGUGUGGAGGUGCUGGGGGAGAAGCAGGUGGAGCUCAAGCCGGUGGAAGUGGCCAUCGAUGAGAUGAAGGCGCGAACGGCAGAGCUGACCAAACUCUGCUCCAGCCAGGAGGUGGACAUGAUCCAACUGCAGCUCAAACUGCAGGGCUGCGUCUCUGUGCAGGUGAAUGCGGGUCCAAUGGCCUAUGCCAGAGCAUUCUUGGAUGACAGCAAAUCCAACCAGUCUGCCAUCAAGAAAGUGAAAGAUCUUAAGGACAUUUUCAGGCGUUUUGUUCAGGCUUGCAGUAUAGCUCUGGACAUAAAUGAGCGUCUUAUCAAAGAGGACCAGUUUGAGUACCAUGAGGGCCUGAAGGCCAACUUCAAAGACAUGGUAAAGGAGCUAUCCGACAUCAUCCACGAGCAGGUACUCUCGCCUUUUCUGGGGGACUUCUUUCUACCGUUACACCCCUGUUACACAAACGCUUAGCUCUGCUUUCAUGUGCAGUUGGUCACAAAGUCUGCUGCAGUGGUCUGGAAAUCAAACACGGGCCUCCUGUGUGGCCACUCAACUGUUAUCACUAUAAAACCAUUUUCCUGCUUAAUUUCAAAAAACAGUAUUUUAUUCACUGGAGAAUGCUGGAUGUGUUGAGUCAUUUGUUGUGAUGCUACAGUACGUUGUGGUUAGGGGGCUAAUAGUCACUGUGCGCGCAUGUAAUCAUGUCAUAUUCAGUUAAUCCAUACUGCUCACAGGGUUACAAAAUGACAUUUAGAAAAUUCAACAGCAACAUAAACGUCCCUGCUGCUCUACGUAAUCCUCAGACCUUACUAUAAAACAGGUAUCAUUGGAUCUACUUGAAUAUUUAAAUAUCUCAAAAUCUGGACAAAUACAACCAGAACCUUCUGUAUAGAUAGAAGCGAAUCCUUCAAAGGUGCUGAAUUCCAAAUUCAGAGCAUUUCUAUGAUUGAGGGAUUGCCUCCACACAGCUCUCAACAUGGCUAGACUGAGCCGGCGGCUAGCCGCUAACAGUGCGAACAACAGCAGCAGUGCUGACAGAGCACACAGUGUUUACCUGAGGGGCAACCGGAGGGUGGGGCACGCUCACUGGGACUCGCAAGCACUAGAAGCAUGCGCUUUUUUCUGGUAUAUUAAAGAUCAGAAUUUAAAAUGCAACACCUUUAAGAUGAUAUGUAAAGUCACUAUAGGGACAAUCACCACAGUUAAAAGCUUUUACUGUUGCAUUCUACUCAGCCAGGCUCCAUGUUAAAGGCAUGCUAAUGAGAUUAUCGUCCACUGAGCCUCGUGUGGAAUCAGCAACAUGCAAACAAUGGAAACUGUGACAAAUUAAACUGCACAUACACAUGAACCAGCAUUAACUUUUUUUAAUUCUGGUCUCCAUCACCAUGGUUUCUCCAUCCACAACUACACACACAAAGUCAAUUUGUUUUCAACACGGGCAGAGAAAGAGCCAUUAUCACCGCACCAACCCUGCUGGUUGCGUUUCAUGAAAGCAGGUCUGAUUUCAUAAACACGUUGGCCUCACGUUUCCAGAAGCUUCCAGCGGCGUUAAUGUGGUUGCGGCUGUCAAAAAUAGACCGACUCGCUGAUGAGACUUGGAGUGAGUCAUAAUGAGUUGCGGGAGCUGUUUAACAUCCUGGAAUAAAAGAAAACUGAUUUCCUGGAAAGAAUCACUCCCAUCAUCAUGCACUCAUCUGCUCUUAAAAUCCUUGUCAAUAGAAUUGAGCUGAUUCUCCUCAUGUAUGUGUGUGUGUGUGUGUGUGUGUGUGUGUGUGUGUGUGUGUGUGUGCAAAAUAAUAUCAUGUGGCAGUCAUUUUACAGAGAGGGAAUUGACAAUGUUUACUUUGUCCUCUUCCCAUCAGUGCAAUGUGUUGUGGUUGUAUUGUAGCAGUGUUGUUCUGCCUGCUGACAUUUGAUAUCACUUUAGCUGCUCUGAACUAACUGGUCUGCCUCUUUCUCUCCAUUGUGCUGGCCAUUAGCUUUAAGGAAAAACAGAUCUACCAGGAAGAUAUGAUGCGCUCGCUGUUACAAAACUCCCUCCAUGUGUUCCGUGCCAUCAGCGGGACGUCCA